UACUUUGAUGGCGACCGGCGCACGGGUGAGUAACGCGUAUGCAACCUACCCUGUACAGGGGGAUAACCCGGAGAAAUUCGGACUAAUAUCCCAUAAAGAUAUCUGGAGGCAUCUUUGGAUAUUUAAAGCUCAGGCGGUACGGGAUGGGCAUGCGUAACAUUAGCUAGUUGGCAGGGUAAAAGCCUACCAAGGCAUUGAUGUUUAGGGGUCCUGAGAGGGUGAUCCCCCACACUGGUACUGAGACACGGACCAGACUCCUACGGGAGGCAGCAGUGAGGAAUAUUGGUCAAUGGGCGCAAGCCUGAACCAGCCAUCCCGCGUGAAGGAAGAAGGCGCUAUGCGUUGUAAACUUCUUUUCCAGGGGAAUAAAAUUUUGUACGAGUACGGAAUUGAAGGUACCCUGGGAAUAAGCAUCGGCUAACUCCGUGCCAGCAGCCGCGGUAAUACGGAGGAUGCGAGCGUUAUCCGGAUUUAUUGGGUUUAAAGGGUGCGUAGGCGGAAAAAUAAGUCAGUGGUGAAAACCUGCAGCUUAACUGUGGAACUGCCAUUGAUACUGUUAUUCUUGAGUAUGGUCAAGGUAGGCGGAAUGUGUAAUGUAGCGGUGAAAUGCUUAGAUAUUACACAGAACACCGAUUGCGGAGGCAGCUUACUGGACCAAAACUGACGCUGAUGCACGAAAGCGUGGGGAUCGAACAGGAUUAGAUACCCUGGUAGUCCACGCCGUAAACGAUGAUCACU
Molecule: ribosomal RNA, 738 nt
Filed under: uncultured bacterium
Lineage: Bacteria
Description: bacterial SSU rRNA
Rfam family: Bacterial small subunit ribosomal RNA
Source: RNAcentral